GCAAGUCGAACGGCAGCACGGGAGCAAUCCUGGUGGCGAGUGGCGAACGGGUGAGUAAUAUAUCGGAACGUGCCCAGUCGUGGGGGAUAACGCAGCGAAAGCUGUGCUAAUACCGCAUACGAUCUCUGGAUGAAAGCGGGGGACUCGCAAGAGCCUCGCGCGAUUGGAGCGGCCGAUAUCAGAUUAGCUAGUUGGCGGGGUAAAGGCCCACCAAGGCGACGAUCUGUAGCUGGUCUGAGAGGACGACCAGCCACACUGGAACUGAGACACGGUCCAGACUCCUACGGGAGGCAGCAGUGGGGAAUUUUGGACAAUGGGCGCAAGCCUGAUCCAGCAAUGCCGCGUGCAGGAUGAAGGCCUUCGGGUUGUAAACUGCUUUUGUACGGAACGAAACGGCGAGCUCUAAUAAAGCUUGCUAAUGACGGUACCGUAAGAAUAAGCACCGGCUAACUACGUGCCAGCAGCCGCGGUAAUACGUAGGGUGCGAGCGUUAAUCGGAAUUACUGGGCGUAAAGCGUGCGCAGGCGGUUAUAUAAGACAGAUGUGAAAUCCCCGGGCUCAACCUGGGACCUGCAUUUGUGACUGUAUAGCUAGAGUACGGUAGAGGGGGAUGGAAUUCCGCGUGUAGCAGUGAAAUGCGUAGAUAUGCGGAGGAACACCGAUGGCGAAGGCAAUCCCCUGGACCUGUACUGACGCUCAUGCACGAAAGCGUGGGGAGCAAACAGGAUUAGAUACCCUGGUAGUCCACGCCCUAAACGAUGUCAACUGGUUGUUGGGUCUUCACUGACUCAGUAACGAAGCUAACGCGUGAAGUUGACCGCCUGGGGAGUACGGCCGCAAGGUUGAAAC
RNAcentral lists this ribosomal RNA (849 nucleotides) under uncultured Comamonadaceae bacterium. RNAcentral describes it as "bacterial SSU rRNA". It matches the Rfam family "Bacterial small subunit ribosomal RNA", at positions 57 to 900 of the family's 1533-position model. Lineage: Bacteria; Pseudomonadati; Pseudomonadota; Betaproteobacteria; Burkholderiales; Comamonadaceae. The record is from RNAcentral.